CCGCGCUAUUGAAAGUGAAUUCGAAUUGUGUUUUCAAGUGUUAUAUUAUUUGUUAAAUUCUAUAUUUUUAAAAUGCGUUGUGCAGUGUUCGGUUGUAAUAAUAACAAUGGUAAAAAUACUGCUACGAAGUGGAGAUUUUUUCAUUUCCCUAAGGAUAAAGCCGCAUUAAAACAAUGGAUUCAAAUAAUGUACUGAAACAGAUAAUGGAGCUGGUUUCAUCAAUGAUGUUUGGUAUCAAGAUGAUAGAGAAAGAAUGAUAGCGCAAUGCGCAUGUUUGCUUUCAGUCAGCUGUUCUUGCUGACGUCACGGUUGACUUAUUAUUCGCCCGCGCUAUUGAAAGUGAAUUCGAAUUGUGUUUUCAAGUGUUAUAUUAUUUGUUAAAUUCUAUAUUUUUAAAAUGCGUUGUGCAGUGUUCGGUUGUAAUAAUAACAAUGGUAAAAAUACUGCUACGAAGUGGAGAUUUUUUCAUUUCCCUAAGGAUAAAGCCGCAUUAAAACAAUGGAUUCAAAUAAUGUACUGAAACAGAUAAUGGAGCUGGUUUCAUCAAUGACCAUUCCAAAAAGGUAUGUAUACUCCAAAGCAAUAAUGCUUUGAAAUUGCUGCUGGAUGACUUAAGACAGCAGCACAAAAUUGAUUACGUUUUGACUUAUCGAUUGAACCAGGACGUUUUGGAAAUUUUUUUUGGCGUAAUCAGGUCAAAAGGCGGUCUUCACGAUCAUCCUGACAGGCAGGAGUUCAAAUAUAGGCUGCGUUCCUAUAUACUUGGUCACAACGAAGGAGCGAUCACAGAAGAAGGCAAUGUUGAAGUCGACAACACACCAGAUUUGGAAGGAAAUUAGUUAUCUCUAACCGGUAAUAUUUUUUAACGUGUGUCAGUUGAUCUGAAUUCCACUGACCCAAUCGAAAAAAAUGAUGACUUGGAGAUUCUCAACAACGACGGACUUGAGAAUUUUGCAUGGUACAUCUGCCACAAACUCGGUAAAGACAACCCCGAAAUUUGUGCCAAUUCCGAAAAUUGUUCGUCACAUACUUGGGUGGAUCACCUUUCUGAAGGAGGACUCUCAAAACCAACAGAUAUGUUGAUGGAGCAUUUGAGAGCCUUGCAAGCAAUAUUUGACGACGUCAAUGGUAAUGAUUUGCUUAUAUGUACAAAUUAUGUCCAGAAACACAUAGAUUUAAGUGAUUUUGUAAAUUGUAGCUCGAAAAUAAAAGAACUAUUUUUCAG
Long non-coding RNA from Bactrocera tryoni, 1225 nucleotides. RefSeq lists it as uncharacterized. The transcript has 3 exons. The record is from RefSeq and is a predicted model, not a curated record. Lineage: Eukaryota; Metazoa; Arthropoda; Insecta; Diptera; Tephritidae.